GCCGCGAGACGGAAUCCGAAGGAAGCCGGCUGUCAGAGGUGAGGAACCUCUGACAGGCAAACUCCCGAACCGACGAAUAGGAAUCACAUAGAAGGCCGUACAGGAACGGACGAGUGUGCGUCACAACAUGAAGUCCAAUGCUGUCCAAAUUCCGUGCGGUAAAUGUGGCGGUUACGCGGGAGGAAAGUUCUU
This 192-nucleotide non-coding RNA is filed under the name human gut metagenome. The record is from RNAcentral.